CGAUAGCGGAUAGUACCGUGAGGGAAUGGUGAAAAGUACCGCGGGAGCGGAGUGAAAUAGUACCUGAAACCGUGUGCCUACAAGCCGUGGGAGCGUCGGGAUGGAGCUUGCUCCAUCCUCGUGACUGCGUGCCUUUUGAAGAAUGAGCCUGCGAGUUUGCGGUGUGUUGCGAGGUUAACCCGUGUGGGGAAGCCGUAGCGAAAGCGAGUCCGAAUA
Molecule: non-coding RNA, 216 nt
Filed under: Streptomyces sp. NRRL S-1521
Lineage: Bacteria; Bacillati; Actinomycetota; Actinomycetes; Kitasatosporales; Streptomycetaceae
Description: Bacterial large subunit ribosomal RNA
Rfam family: Bacterial large subunit ribosomal RNA
Source: Rfam by way of RNAcentral